CGGCGCACGCUGGCCUUGGUCAGCGGCACGCCCAGCACGGAGGAAAUCUCGGCAGCCAAUUCGGGGUUCGAAUUGCCGGCUACCAGUUUGAUGGAGCCAUUCUUCGCUGAAAUUGCAGCCUCUCCUCGCGAUGUGGGGGAAACGCUUUUCAACAUAUCGCUGCCUAUGAAACGGAACCGGAGCCUGACGUCUUCGCAGGCGCGCGUGAUAACAAGGAGAUGACGAGGCUGGCAAUACAAAGCCUCGGUUUUUCCUGCAAAAACCGGCUCAGAACUGCGUCCGCAUCCCUAAUGGGCGCUGAAGGCCAGCGUCUGCAUUCGUCCGGGCCCCGAUUCAGGCCGAUUCUCGUCGGUCUGCGCGAUGGCAGGACCGGAGGUUCGGGGCGCGGCCG
This 391-nucleotide unclassified non-coding RNA is filed under the name Hevea brasiliensis (rubber tree). The record is from RNAcentral. Lineage: Eukaryota; Viridiplantae; Streptophyta; Magnoliopsida; Malpighiales; Euphorbiaceae.